CAGUAGCCGCGGUAAUACGGAGGGUGCAAGCGUUAAUCGGAAUUACUGGGCGUAAAGCGCACGCGGGCGGUCUGUCAAGUCAGAUGUGAAAUCCCCGGGCUUAACCUGGGAACUGCAUCUGAAACUGGCAGGCUAGAGUCUUGUAGAGGGGGGUAGAAUUCCAGGUGUAGCGGUGAAAUGCGUAGAGAUCUGGAGGAAUACCGGUGGCGAAGGCGGCCCCCUGGACAAAGACUGACGCUCAGGUGCGAAAGCGUGGGGAGCAAACAGGAUUAGAUACCCCAGUAGUCCCUGUCUCUUAUCA
This 301-nucleotide ribosomal RNA is filed under the name uncultured bacterium. Its description in RNAcentral is "partial 16S ribosomal RNA". It matches the Rfam family "Bacterial small subunit ribosomal RNA", at positions 509 to 809 of the family's 1533-position model. The record is from RNAcentral.